GCCCAGGCUGUAAUUUUAAUUUCCACUGGGUGCUGGCAAAGCCCCCCUGGGGGUGAGCCCCAGUGCCUGGCAGGAGCGGAGCGGGCUUGCGGGGAGGUGUUCACCCGGUCAGCGUCAGGAACCAUCCUAACUGAGGCCUCGGCUGCCUCUUUCCCUUCGGUCGCCGUGGACACUGUGCCGGACACCUCUGGCAGGACUAACCCUGUGGCUUUUAUGUCCAGCGUGCUGUAUGCCUGCAGCAUCCUGUCCGAGACAAAGCUACCUUUCUUUCCUUGUGGGAAUGGACCGGCCGGGCUUUGGCAAUCUGUCCCCUCGAAAGACAAAGUGACCUCUUCCAACAGGGGAAGACUGAAGCAAGGGGUGCCAGGAAGAACUGGAGUCUCUGGAGAAUAAAAGCUGGAAGCGUGCCCCCGAAAGUCCCCAGCCCCGGGUGGUCAGUGGUCUGACUUGCACGGACCGGUGGCCUUGGCCAGGAGCGGUCCUGCCGGCCUGUACUUUUAAUUUCCUGCCCAGGCUGUAAUUUUAAUUUCCACUGGGUGCUGGCAAAGCCCCCCUGGGGGUGAGCCCCAGUGCCUGGCAGGAGCGGAGCGGGCUUGCGGGGAUGUAUUCACCCGGUCAGCGUCAGGAACCGUCCUAACUGAGGCCUCGGCUGCCUCUUUCCCUUCGGUCGCCGUGGACACUGUGCCGGACACCUCUGGCAGGACUAACCCUGUGGCUUUUAUGUCCAGCGUGCUGUAUGCCUGCAGCAUCCUGUCCGAGACAAAGCUACCUUUCUUUCCUCGUGGGAAUGGACCGGCCGGGCUUUGGCAGUCUGUCCCCUCGAAAGACUAAAGUGACCUCUUGCAGCAGGGGAAGACUGAAGCAAGGGGUGCCAGGAAGAACUGGAGUCUCUGGAGAAUAAAAGCUGGAAGCGUGCCCCCGAAAGUCCCCAGCCCCGGGUGGUCAGUGGUCUGACUUGCACGGACCGGUGGCCUUGGCCAGGAGUGGUCCUGCGGGAAGCACCUUUGCCCAGGCUGUAAUUUUAAUUUCCACUGGGUGCUGGCAAAGCCCCCCUGGGGGUGAGCCCCAGUGCCUGGCAGGAGCGGAGCGGGCUUGCGGGGAGGUGUUCACCCGGUCAGCGUCAGGAACCAUCCUAACUGAGGCCUCGGCUGCCUCUUUCCCUUCGGUCGCCGUGUGUGUGCCGGACACCUCUGGCAGGACUAACCCUGUGGCUUUUAUGUCCAACGUGCUGUAUGCCUGCAGAAUUGCCACGAGAGGAAAUACCUCAGAGGGGCUUCCCUCCAGAUAAGCCCUGAAUAUGCCAGGAGGUUUCAGCCGGGAGAAAGGAGCUGUGGAAGAAAAGCAGCCUAAAAAUAGCCAGCGGGGAUCAUUAGGUUUUCCAGCCAAGAAAAACAAGGACGGAGAUGAGGGAAUUGGGUUCCAAUUCCUAAUGAUUUGGUGGGUGUAGGAAUGAUUUCUGUGUGUUUUCCAGUCCCUUUUGAUUCCUGGGAAGAUUUUAAAAUGAUGGCUUUAGCAAUCAACUAAAUUGGAGAUGUUGUUUUUGAGAGGAAAUGAUGCCAAAUAAAUGCAGAGAGAGAGCGUGGAAUCAUCCGGGGAUCCUGGAGUGGUUUGGGUUGGAAAGGAUCUCAGGGAUCAUCUCCUUCCAUCCCCUGCCACAGGCAGGGACACCUUCUAAUAGACAUCCAGCCUGGCCUUGGCCACUUGCAGGGAUGGGGCAGCCACAGCUUCUCUGUGCCAGGCCACCUCCCCACCCUCCCAGGGAAGAAUGUCUCCCUUAUGUGCAAUCUUUCCCUUUCUUCUCUGCAGGAAGUGGGCUGGGACAAGGGAAUUGGCUCCCACGAGGCCGAGGAUCAGAGCAGGCUCUGCACAGGGGACGACUUCCACUUCCGAACGAACGGGGAAGGGCACCUUCGUCCCCACCCCCGGCAUGGGGACGGAGUAACAUCUGCCUGCAGCUGGCUGGAGUUCCCGUUGGCUCUGGGCUUUCUGCCCACGGGCCGGGGAUCAUGGCCAGAGUCCUUCAAACCUGGGGAACAGUGGCCUUCACAGCAUCCCUGCAGCCCGUCCAGGGCAGGCUGCUGCCCAUCGGCCCCUGAUCACAGGUGGAUGUAGAAGUGAUGGUGUUUAGGGAAUGUUGAUUGUAUUUCCCUGACUUUAGCAACGUGGUCAUUAAAAAGAGAAAAAUAACAA
Long non-coding RNA from Pseudopipra pipra, 2190 nucleotides. RefSeq lists it as uncharacterized. The transcript is spliced from 7 exons. The record is from RefSeq and is a predicted model, not a curated record. Lineage: Eukaryota; Metazoa; Chordata; Aves; Passeriformes; Pipridae.